GCCCCUGAGUGACUGGAAGGGCUGGAGCCAGGACCCACCCCCUCCCAGACCUCAUUUAAGAGUUGGCAGUGGAGGUAGGGGCAUCUCAUCUGGGGACCCCUGUGUAUGAGAGGGUGUUAUGGGCAUUCUGAAGGAACCUUGGCUAAAUGAAUUAAAAGCGGACCUCUGUUCAUCUCUCAUGUACUGAUUGCUCCCUCACACAACCUUUUUAAUGUUAUGCUCUGUGAUGCCACCACUGAUUACACUGAAGAUAUUCUGAAUGCUGUCAGCGGAGAGAGAGAUGGAAUGCGCCUGAAUAUUUGAAUAACCAUGAGAAACAACAGCAUUUGGAGGAAGGAACGGGCACCGUACAUGUGACUUAUCUGACAUGGAAUUACGUAGAUUUUUAAAAUAGGGCCCAAAAGGCCAAAUGAGGUUGUGCCUUGAGUGCUGCCGUCAGCAGGGUGGAAAGGAAAGGAAACCCUAACUCUCAGUGUGAUGGAUAAGUAUUGUUUCCACAGAAACUUCCUCCCCCAGUUGGCACGUGGGCCUUGCUCUGGUGGGAGCUGGGGUCGGGGGUCGUGCCAUUGUCUGCUGAAAUGAUCCGAUUGCUUGUUGUGUGGAAAUAUAAAUCUUGGGCCUUUGAUCGUGUGAACCGUAAAGGAGGGAAACGCUUCUUUGUUUUUAUUUAAAAAAAAGGAAAGUCAGAGCUGUGGCCAGCACAGUGCUGAAGGCGGGCAGGCUUCAGCCAAGGCGCUGCUGUGGGGAUCGUGGGGUGGUGGCAGCCCGGGAGGGAACCCUGUGGGGCGAGGAACCCUCUGGCCGGGAGCAGGUGGCUGCAAGGCCCAGCAGGAGCAGGGGAGUGCAGCUGGAUGCACACCAGGGUCUGGUACGUGGAGGAGCUCCCAGCACCUCCAAGCUGGCAUUUCACCUGCCCCAAACUCCGGUUGUUUCUACGGACCAGAUUUGGUGUGAUUUUUAGUAGGUUUGUUUGUUCCGCCCUCGCCAAGCGAUGGGUGAGGUGUGUGGCAGCCAGCUGCCAGGCUCAGCAGCAGCCCAGCCACUGCUUCAUCACAGGUUGGUUAGCUGGCAGCCCGAGGCAAACCUGCAAUCAUUAACAGCCCAUUUGCUGGGCUAAUGACUCUUUUUCACUAGAUGUAUAAUUUAAUAUAUGGUAACUUUCAUGCUUAAUUACGCUCUUCAAAGCUUCUUUUGAAGGAAUUUAUUUUUCUGCAUGCAUUUAUUAAAAAGUGUUGGGAGCUGGCUGGCUUGCUUCCCUGCUAUUCUGCAUUAAAACCAGAUCAUUUAUUUAAGAAGAUUUUAAUUGAGAUAUGGGUAUUUCCUCCUCUGCAGCUUUAUAGAAUCAUAGAAUGGCCUGCAUUGAAAAGGACGAUGAGUGCUUGAAGAAAUAAAUAACAAUGAAUUACCAAGAUGUUUCAAACUUGCAUUCUGUGCCCUACCGCAGCUUGCCCCGUUGUCCUGGACGAGGCGCAGGCCUGAACCCUUCCAGCACAAUGCAAGGCUUGAGCUCGGCAGCCUGGCUGCAUUCCAGCCCGGUUCACGUCUGACUCAGCAGUGAGUGCCCCUGCCGUGCUCGGGAACCUCAGUGGGAGCACAGUCGGGCUCCUGUAAGUGCUGUUAAUCCCACAUGCCAUCGGCAUGCGGCUCUUGUAAGGCUUGCUGGGAUCAGUUCGGAUGAAAGAGGCUACGCGUGUAAGAUGUUUUUCAUCUGCAUCCCAGAUCUGUACUACAUCAACGCAGAAGUAUGACUUUGUCAAUCAGAUGCUUUUUUUGAGCUAGGCAGCUGAUUGAGAGGAUAGUCAUGAAUUUGGUUUUCUUUCUGUGAGCUCUACUGUCCCCUUCAUGGAGAUUAAACAUUUCCCAGUACUGUUUUCAGCUCCACAGAGCAAGUAAAAGAUAAUCUCCUGCUUGGAUAUCCUCACACUAUUGCGAUCCACUAAUAGGAUCACCAUACAGUUUUGACUUAACAGGCACUGGGAGAGGAUAAUCCUGUUUACUCGGUCAUCCAAAACACUGAUGAUCUGAGAUAAUCGGUGGCUGAGAGCAUGAGGAGGGAUGUGCGAGGUGCUCUGUGCCCGGAUGGGUGAGUCAGAAGCUCUGCCCUGGGGAACGGACUGAGCUCACCACUGCAGCCCCAACAGGGCAGGGGGAGAGCCCCAACCAUCCUCACAAAGACAGAAACUGGAGAAGCCAACCAGGUAAAAUAACAGCGUUUCCUAGAGUCUUUUCCAGAUGUUGUGCUUGUAACAUGAACUCUUACGGCUGACACGUGAGCUGUGGAUUAACAUCAGAUAGUGCUGUUGACUUGUCAGCCUUGCUCUGUGGCCUGGGAGCUGUCCCUGCCCAGAUAACGGGUUUGUGGUUAAUGGUUCAAUAAGCCAGCAGCAGCGCAUUGCCCACCAGCCCCUAUGCACCGUAGCUAGAUGCCGAGCCCAACUCUUCACCACGGCUACGCAUGUUAGUAUUGAACACAUGCACAAUGAUUCAUCGGCCCCAAUGCAAUGCUUACUUCAAAUAGUAUUUUACUAGGUGCUGGCUAUAUUUAACUUUCCAAACUUGAGUGGACGUAGAGAUGUGAUCCAGAUGACAGAAUGCUGUUAUGUCCUUACAUUUAAAAACCAAAACGUGCUUUUCUCUCCCUGCUGGCAGGUGUUCGGGGCCCUGCGGGUGGGAUUUUCACGUGUGGCUGUUCGAUGAGCUCUGAAAGGCAGAGACGGCAUGAGACACCCGGGACGAGCAAGGCUGCUGGCACUCGCUCGACAGUUGAGGCCGUUCUGCUCGGUGACUGCAGUUCUGCAAUCAGCCUGCAGGGGGCAGCAGAGCGGCACAGGGCUGCUUUCCUCCCGGAGCCCCUCGGGGCUGGCAGCGCCUAGGAGCGGAUCUGCAGACCCAAGGUGGGGGGGAGUGCAUGUACCCACCGAGCUGAGGGCGUCACGCCGUCCUGGGGAGUGCCCGCAGCCGGAGCUGUCCCCCUGGCCACGUCCUAGCAGGGCGAGAUCUCAUGUGACAGCCACCACCUCGGACAGCAGCGGAAUGGGACCAUGGAGGAGACUGGUGGGUGUGUGGCUUCACAAGCAGGAGCUGUAAACAAGCAAACAGCACCAGCUCCUUGCAGCUCCCAGCCCUUCUUCUGCAGCACGGUGAGAUCCAGCAGCACUGCUGUUGUCCUGUGGCCCGGAGCAGUGCCCACCCAGAGUAAGCACGAGGCAGGAGCUGAAAGCCCGACCUGCAGCUCACGUCUUGCUCGGCCCGAUGACAUCUGUAGCAGGAAAAAUCAAGAGUAUGACAUCAAUGGAGCUGAACCGUUUGCCGAGGGAUCUCCUGUUACCUCUGCAGCCGUUCCUGGAAGGUGGUGAGAAAUAACAGCCAACCCAUGCCCCACUUUUUGGUGUGCAUGCAGCACCCACCUGCUUUCUGCUGCCGUGGGCUCCAGGUUUACUUAACGCGCUCACAUGUAAGAAGCAAACGUAAACACGAGCAGCUGAUGUUACUCAAGAAAACAAAUGGAUGGCUGCAUCUGUGCUCUCCCCAGUGUUUAUCCAGAGGGAGAGAUUAAACGGGAACCACUCAGGCGAGCUUAGUCCGAUUUUAAAAGAUCUUUUGAGUGUUGAACAUGUAAUAAGAUGCUCAAUGCUGUUUUUGAGGCAAGAUGCUCCUCGCUGAUUUACAAAGGCCAUGCUCUCUGGCUUUGCAUGCCUAAAAGCUCCUCAAAAUCUGCUGCUGGGACUCUGGGGCUCGUCAUGUCAAUGGGAACGAAUGCUGCCCAGCCAGCUCUGAGCGCACGGCUGGAGCUCGCCUUUCCCCUCGCUGCUCUGGAUUAGUUCUCCUUCGGCUUCUUUCUCGCGUUGCUGAUGGAAGCUGGGUGGAGUGGCUCUUACAGAAAGAUGCAGAACACCCUUCUGUAAGCAACCAACGCUAACGGAGCUCACAGGGGACUUCUACCUCUGUCUCUUUUCUGUGACAAUUACAUGUCGUCGAAUUACAUAGAUGGAUUUUAACAUCUAAACAAAUAAAUAAACGAUAUAUGCACGUUUAA
This is a long non-coding RNA of Numida meleagris (helmeted guineafowl), 4036 nucleotides long. RefSeq lists it as uncharacterized. The record is from RefSeq and is a predicted model, not a curated record. The transcript has 8 exons. NCBI's taxonomy places the organism in Eukaryota, Metazoa, Chordata, Aves, Galliformes, Numididae.